RNAcentral lists this ribosomal RNA (465 nucleotides) under Vreelandella stevensii. Its description in RNAcentral is "partial 16S ribosomal RNA". It matches the Rfam family "Bacterial small subunit ribosomal RNA", at positions 338 to 795 of the family's 1533-position model. The record is from RNAcentral. Lineage: Bacteria; Pseudomonadati; Pseudomonadota; Gammaproteobacteria; Oceanospirillales; Halomonadaceae.
CCUACGGGUGGCUGCAGUGGGGAAUAUUGGACAAUGGGGGGAACCCUGAUCCAGCCAUGCCGCGUGUGUGAAGAAGGCCCUCGGGUUGUAAAGCACUUUCAGUGAGGAAGAACGCCUGGUGGUUAAUACCCAUCAGGAAAGACAUCACUCACAGAAGAAGCACCGGCUAACUCCGUGCCAGCAGCCGCGGUAAUACGGAGGGUGCGAGCGUUAAUCGGAAUUACUGGGCGUAAAGCGCGCGUAGGUGGCUUGAUAAGCCGGUUGUGAAAGCCCCGGGCUCAACCUGGGAACGGCAUCCGGAACUGUCAAGCUAGAGUGCAGGAGAGGAAGGUAGAAUUCCCGGUGUAGCGGUGAAAUGCGUAGAGAUCAGGAGGAAUACCAGUGGCGAAGGCGGCCUUCUGGACUGACACUGACACUGAGGUGCGAAAGCGUGGGUAGCAAACAGGAUUAGAUACCCCGGUAGUC